GACGAACGCUGGCGGCGUGCUUAACACAUGCAAGUCGAACGGAGCGAAUGAAAGCUUGCUUUUAUAAGCUUAGUGGCAAACGGGUGAGUAACACGUAGACAACCUGCCGACAGGAUGGGGACAACAUUCCGAAAGGAAUGCUAAUACCGAAUGAAGUGCAGGGGAGGCAUCUCCCCUGCAUGAAAGAUGGCCUCUAUAUAUAUGCUAUCACCUGUUGAUGGGUCUGCGUCUGAUUAGCUGGUAGGUGAGGUAACGGCUCACCUAGGCGACGAUCAGUAGCCGGUCUGAGAGGAUGAACGGCCACAUUGGGACUGAGACACGGCCCAGACUCCUACGGGAGGCAGCAGUGGGGAAUCUUCCGCAAUGGGCGCAAGCCUGACGGAGCAACGCCGCGUGAGUGAAGAAGGUCUUCGGAUCGUAAAGCUCUGUUGAUGGGGACGAACGUGCCUAAUGCGAAU
This 458-nucleotide ribosomal RNA is filed under the name Centipeda noxia. RNAcentral describes it as "bacterial SSU rRNA". It matches the Rfam family "Bacterial small subunit ribosomal RNA", at positions 28 to 465 of the family's 1533-position model. Lineage: Bacteria; Bacillati; Bacillota; Negativicutes; Selenomonadales; Selenomonadaceae. The record is from RNAcentral.